RNAcentral lists this non-coding RNA (262 nucleotides) under Lederbergia galactosidilytica. RNAcentral's name for it is "Bacillus galactosidilyticus T-box sequence". It matches the Rfam family "T-box leader". Rfam says of the family: Uncharged tRNA acts as the effector for transcription antitermination of genes in the T-box leader family. T-boxes are found upstream of many aminoacyl-tRNA synthetase genes and some amino acid biosynthetic genes usually in Gram-positive bacteria. The anticodon of a specific tRNA base pairs to a specifier sequence within the T-box motif, and the NCCA acceptor tail of the tRNA base pairs to a conserved bulge in the T-box antiterminator hairpin. Lineage: Bacteria; Bacillati; Bacillota; Bacilli; Caryophanales; Bacillaceae. The record is from RNAcentral.
CUAUGUCCUAUGAUGAGGAGAAGUAAUUAAAUUUAGCUACAUUACAGAGAGUUAGGGUAGUUGAGAGCCUAGCAAGAAGGAGUUUAACGAAUGGACCUCUAAGGAACAAGGUGAGAAAUCUAUAAAGAGAGUAUCUUAGUGGUGGGCUGCACCUUACAGCAGACAGAGUAUGUUAGUACUUGAUAAUGAGUGGUGUGAUGAUAUAUCCAUUAAAUAAUUACACAAUUUAGGUGGCAACACGGAAAUAAUCUCCGUCCUAUUA